This 2906-nucleotide ribosomal RNA is filed under the name Enterobacter roggenkampii. Its description in RNAcentral is "23S ribosomal RNA". It matches the Rfam family "Bacterial large subunit ribosomal RNA". The record is from RNAcentral. Lineage: Bacteria; Pseudomonadati; Pseudomonadota; Gammaproteobacteria; Enterobacterales; Enterobacteriaceae.
GGUUAAGCGACUAAGCGUACACGGUGGAUGCCCUGGCAGUCAGAGGCGAUGAAGGACGUGCUAAUCUGCGAAAAGCGCCGGCGAGGUGAUAUGAACCUUUGACCCGGCGAUGUCCGAAUGGGGAAACCCAGUGUGAUUCGUCACACUAUCGUUAACUGAAUACAUAGGUUAACGAGGCGAACCGGGGGAACUGAAACAUCUAAGUACCCCGAGGAAAAGAAAUCAACCGAGAUUCCCCCAGUAGCGGCGAGCGAACGGGGAGCAGCCCAGAGUCUGAAUCAGCUUGUGUGUUAGUGGAAGCGUCUGGAAAGUCGCACGGUACAGGGUGACAGUCCCGUACACGAAAAUGCACAGGUUGUGAACUCGAAGAGUAGGGCGGGACACGUGGUAUCCUGUCUGAAUAUGGGGGGACCAUCCUCCAAGGCUAAAUACUCCUGACUGACCGAUAGUGAACCAGUACCGUGAGGGAAAGGCGAAAAGAACCCCGGCGAGGGGAGUGAAAAAGAACCUGAAACCGUGUACGUACAAGCAGUGGGAGCACCUUCGUGGUGUGACUGCGUACCUUUUGUAUAAUGGGUCAGCGACUUAUAUUCUGUAGCAAGGUUAACCGUAUAGGGGAGCCGAAGGGAAACCGAGUCUUAACUGGGCGUUAAGUUGCAGGGUAUAGACCCGAAACCCGGUGAUCUAGCCAUGGGCAGGUUGAAGGUUGGGUAACACUAACUGGAGGACCGAACCGACUAAUGUUGAAAAAUUAGCGGAUGACUUGUGGCUGGGGGUGAAAGGCCAAUCAAACCGGGAGAUAGCUGGUUCUCCCCGAAAGCUAUUUAGGUAGCGCCUCGUGAACUCAUCUUCGGGGGUAGAGCACUGUUUCGGCUAGGGGGCCAUCCCGGCUUACCAACCCGAUGCAAACUACGAAUACCGAAGAAUGUUAUCACGGGAGACACACGGCGGGUGCUAACGUCCGUCGUGAAGAGGGAAACAACCCAGACCGCCAGCUAAGGUCCCAAAGUCAUGGUUAAGUGGGAAACGAUGUGGGAAGGCACAGACAGCCAGGAUGUUGGCUUAGAAGCAGCCAUCAUUUAAAGAAAGCGUAAUAGCUCACUGGUCGAGUCGGCCUGCGCGGAAGAUGUAACGGGGCUAAACCAUGCACCGAAGCUGCGGCAGCGACGCUUAUGCGUUGUUGGGUAGGGGAGCGUUCUGUAAGCCGUUGAAGGUGGCCUGUGAGGGUUGCUGGAGGUAUCAGAAGUGCGAAUGCUGACAUAAGUAACGAUAAAGCGGGUGAAAAGCCCGCUCGCCGGAAGACCAAGGGUUCCUGUCCAACGUUAAUCGGGGCAGGGUGAGUCGACCCCUAAGGCGAGGCCGAAAGGCGUAGUCGAUGGGAAACAGGUUAAUAUUCCUGUACUUGGUGUUACUGCGAAGGGGGGACGGAGAAGGCUAUGUUAGCCGGGCGACGGUUGUCCCGGUUUAAGCAUGUAGGCGGAGGUUCCAGGUAAAUCCGGUACCUUAUUAACGCUGAGGUGUGAUGACGAGGCACUACGGUGCUGAAGUAACAAAUGCCCUGCUUCCAGGAAAAGCCUCUAAGCAUCAGGUAACAUCAAAUCGUACCCCAAACCGACACAGGUGGUCAGGUAGAGAAUACCAAGGCGCUUGAGAGAACUCGGGUGAAGGAACUAGGCAAAAUGGUGCCGUAACUUCGGGAGAAGGCACGCUGAUAUGUAGGUGAAGCCCCUGCGGGUGGAGCUGAAAUCAGUCGAAGAUACCAGCUGGCUGCAACUGUUUAUUAAAAACACAGCACUGUGCAAACACGAAAGUGGACGUAUACGGUGUGACGCCUGCCCGGUGCCGGAAGGUUAAUUGAUGGGGUUAGCGGCAACGCGAAGCUCUUGAUCGAAGCCCCGGUAAACGGCGGCCGUAACUAUAACGGUCCUAAGGUAGCGAAAUUCCUUGUCGGGUAAGUUCCGACCUGCACGAAUGGCGUAAUGAUGGCCAGGCUGUCUCCACCCGAGACUCAGUGAAAUUGAACUCGCUGUGAAGAUGCAGUGUACCCGCGGCAAGACGGAAAGACCCCGUGAACCUUUACUAUAGCUUGACACUGAACACUGGUCCUUGAUGUGUAGGAUAGGUGGGAGGCUUUGAAGUGUGGACGCCAGUCUGCAUGGAGCCGUCCUUGAAAUACCACCCUUUAAUGGCUGGUGUUCUAACGUAGACCCGUGAUCCGGGUUGCGGACAGUGUCUGGUGGGUAGUUUGACUGGGGCGGUCUCCUCCCAAAGAGUAACGGAGGAGCACGAAGGUUAGCUAAUCCUGGUCGGACAUCAGGAGGUUAGUGCAAUGGCAUAAGCUAGCUUGACUGCGAGAGUGACGGCUCGAGCAGGUGCGAAAGCAGGUCAUAGUGAUCCGGUGGUUCUGAAUGGAAGGGCCAUCGCUCAACGGAUAAAAGGUACUCCGGGGAUAACAGGCUGAUACCGCCCAAGAGUUCAUAUCGACGGCGGUGUUUGGCACCUCGAUGUCGGCUCAUCACAUCCUGGGGCUGAAGUAGGUCCCAAGGGUAUGGCUGUUCGCCAUUUAAAGUGGUACGCGAGCUGGGUUUAGAACGUCGUGAGACAGUUCGGUCCCUAUCUGCCGUGGGCGCUGGAGAAUUGAGGGGGGCUGCUCCUAGUACGAGAGGACCGGAGUGGACGCAUCACUGGUGUUCGGGUUGUCAUGCCAAUGGCACUGCCCGGUAGCUAAAUGCGGAAAAGAUAAGUGCUGAAAGCAUCUAAGCACGAAACUUGCCCCGAGAUGAGUUCUCCCUGAGACUUUAAGUCUCCUGAAGGAACGUUGAAGACGACGACGUUGAUAGGUCGGGUGUGUAAGCGCAGCGAUGCGUUGAGCUAACCGAUACUAAUGAACCGUGAGGCUUAACCUU